GAGCCGCUAGCUCAGUCGGUAGAGCAUCGGCCUUUUAAGCCGAGGGUCCUGGGUUCGAUCCCCAGGCGGCUCA
RNAcentral lists this transfer RNA (73 nucleotides) under Candidatus Eiseniibacteriota bacterium. RNAcentral describes it as "tRNA-Lys". It matches the Rfam family "tRNA". From Rfam's summary of the family: Transfer RNA (tRNA) molecules are approximately 80 nucleotides in length. Lineage: Bacteria; Candidatus Eiseniibacteriota. The record is from RNAcentral. RNAcentral also lists the same sequence under 1 other name.